ACGUAGGUCACAAGCGUUGUCCGGAAUUACUGGGUGUAAAGGGAGCGCAGGCGGGGAGACAAGUUGGAAGUGAAAUCUAUGGGCUCAACCCGUAAACUGCUUUCAAAACUGUUUUUCUUGAGUAGUGCAGAGGUAGGCGGAAUUCCCGGUGUAGCGGUGGAAUGCGUAGAUAUCGGGAGGAACACCAGUGGCGAAGGCGGCCUACUGGGCACCAACUGACGCUGAGGCUCGAAAGUGUGGGUAGCAAACAG
RNAcentral lists this ribosomal RNA (251 nucleotides) under uncultured bacterium. RNAcentral describes it as "partial 16S ribosomal RNA". It matches the Rfam family "Bacterial small subunit ribosomal RNA", at positions 525 to 775 of the family's 1533-position model. The record is from RNAcentral.